GACGAACGCUGGCGGCGUGCUUAACACAUGCAAGUCGAGCGGUAAGGCCCUUUCGGGGGUACACGAGCGGCGAACGGGUGAGUAACACGUGGGUGACCUGCCCUCAGCUCUGGGAUAAGCCUGGGAAACCGGGUCUAAUACUGGAUAUGACUCCAUGACGCAUGUUGUGGGGUGGAAAGCCUUGUGCGGCUGAGGAUGGGCCCGCGGCCUAUCAGCUUGUUGGUGGGGUGAUGGCCUACCAAGGCGACGACGGGUAGCCGGCCUGAGAGGGCGACCGGCCACACUGGGACUGAGACACGGCCCAGACUCCUACGGGAGGCAGCAGUGGGGAAUCUUGGACAAUGGGGGAAACCCUGAUCCAGCCAUGCCGCGUGAGUGAUGAAGGCCCUAGGGUUGUAAAACUCUUUACGGCGGGGACGAUAAUGACGGUACCCGCAGAAGAAGCUCCGGCUAACUUCGUGCCAGCAGCCGCCGUAAU
RNAcentral lists this ribosomal RNA (478 nucleotides) under uncultured bacterium. Its description in RNAcentral is "bacterial SSU rRNA". It matches the Rfam family "Bacterial small subunit ribosomal RNA", at positions 28 to 524 of the family's 1533-position model. The record is from RNAcentral.